AUGACCUACGGGACGCAGCAGUGGGGGAUAUUGCACAAUGGGGGAAACCCUGAUGCAGCGACGCCGCGUGUGGGAAGACGGUCUUCUGGAUUGUAAACCACUGUCCCCAGGGACGAAAAUGACGGUACCUGGGGAGGAAGCUCCGGCUAACUACGUGCCAGCAGCCGCGGUAAUACGUAGGGAGCAAGCGUUGUCCGGAAUUACUGGGUGUAAAGGGAGCGUAGGCGGGGAUGCAAGUUGGGUGUCAAAACUACCGGCUCAACCGAUAGUCGCACUCAAAACUGCAGCUCUUGAGUGAAGUAUAG
RNAcentral lists this ribosomal RNA (305 nucleotides) under uncultured bacterium. Its description in RNAcentral is "bacterial SSU rRNA". It matches the Rfam family "Bacterial small subunit ribosomal RNA", at positions 334 to 656 of the family's 1533-position model. The record is from RNAcentral.